UCCGUAGGUGAACCUGCGGAAGGAUCAUUACCGAGUGAGGGCUGCCUCCGGGCGCCCAACCUCCCACCCGUGACUACCUAACACUGUUGCUUCGGCGGGGAGCCCUCUCGGGGGCGAGCCGCCGGGGACUACUGAACUUCAUGCCUGAGAGUGAUGCAGUCUGAGUCUGAAUAUAAAAUCAGUCAAAACUUUCAACAAUGGAUCUCUUGGUUCCGGCAUCGAUGAAGAACGCAGCGAACUGCGAUAAGUAAUGUGAAUUGCAGAAUUCAGUGAAUCAUCGAGUCUUUGAACGCACAUUGCGCCCCCUGGCAUUCCGGGGGGCAUGCCUGUCCGAGCGUCAUUGCUGCCCAUCAAGCCCGGCUUGUGUGUUGGGUCGUCGUCCCCCCCGGGGGACGGGCCCGAAAGGCAGCGGCGGCACCGUGUCCGGUCCUCGAGCGUAUGGGGCUUUGUCACCCGCUCGAUUAGGGCCGGCCGGGCGCCAGCCGACGUCUCCAACCAUUUUCUUCAGGUUGACCUCGGAUCAGGUAGGGAUACCCGCUGAACUUAAGCAUAUCAAUAAGCGGAGGA
This 567-nucleotide ribosomal RNA is filed under the name uncultured Aspergillus. Its description in RNAcentral is "eukaryotic LSU rRNA". The stretch from base 187 to 340 matches the Rfam family "5.8S ribosomal RNA". The record is from RNAcentral. Lineage: Eukaryota; Fungi; Ascomycota; Eurotiomycetes; Eurotiales; Aspergillaceae.